AGUUUAUUUUAUAAGAAUUUAAUUUACUAUAAUUUUAAUUGAAAUUUAUUUCAGGUCAAGGUGCAGCUAAUAAUUAAGUGGUGNGGAAUUACAAUUUUAUUUAAAAAAAUACGGAGUUUGAGUUGAAAAUAAUUUUAAUGAAGGUGGAUUUAUUAGUAAUUUUAUUUUGUGUGGUUUUUUGAAAUUAGUUCUAANAUAAGUACACAUCGCCCG
RNAcentral lists this ribosomal RNA (213 nucleotides) under Eurycnema osiris. Its description in RNAcentral is "partial small subunit ribosomal RNA". Lineage: Eukaryota; Metazoa; Arthropoda; Insecta; Phasmatodea; Phasmatidae. The record is from RNAcentral.